GACGAACGCUGGCGGCGUGCUUAACACAUGCAAGUCGAACGGUAAGCGCAUCUUCGGGUGUGUACGAGUGGCGAACGGGUGAGUAACACGUGGGUGAUCUGCCCUGCACUUUGGGAUAAGCCUGGGAAACUGGGUCUAAUACCGGAUAGGACCAUGGGAUGCAUGUUCUGUGGUGGAAAGCUUUGGCGGUGUGGGAUGGGCCCGCGGCCUAUCAGCUUGUUGGUGGGGUGAUGGCCUACCAAGGCGACGACGGGUAGCCGGCCUGUGAGGGUGUCCGGCCACACUGGGACUGAGAUACGGCCCAGACUCCUACGGGAGGCAGCAGUGGGGAAUAUUGCACAAUGGGCGCAAGCCUGAUGCAGCGACGCCGCGUGGGGGAUGACGGCCUUCGGGUUGUAAACCUCUUUCACCAGAGACGAAGCGUAAGUGACGGUAUCUGGAGAAGAAGCACCGGCCAACUACGUGCCAGCCGCCGCGGUA
This 480-nucleotide ribosomal RNA is filed under the name uncultured bacterium. RNAcentral describes it as "bacterial SSU rRNA". It matches the Rfam family "Bacterial small subunit ribosomal RNA", at positions 28 to 522 of the family's 1533-position model. The record is from RNAcentral.